Molecule: ribosomal RNA, 449 nt
Filed under: uncultured bacterium
Lineage: Bacteria
Description: partial 16S ribosomal RNA
Rfam family: Bacterial small subunit ribosomal RNA
Source: RNAcentral
GAUGAACGCUGGCGGUGUGCCUAAUACAUGCAAGUCGAACGAGCUCUUCGGAGCUAGUGGCGGACGGGUGAGUAACACGUUGGUACCUGCCUCGAAGUGGGGAAUAACUGCCCGAAAGGGUGGCUAAUACCGCAUGUGACCGCAAGGUUAAAGCAGUAAUGCGCUUCGACAGGGGCCUGCGUCCCAUUAGCUUGUUGGUAGGGUAAAAGCCUACCAAGGCGACGAUGGGUAGCUGGAUCGAGAGGUUGACCAGCCACACUGGGACUGAGAUACGGCCCAGACUCCUACGGGAGGCAGCAGUAAGGAAUCUUCCAAUGGACGAAAGUCUGAUGGAGCAACACCGCGUGCAGGAUGACGGCCUUCGGGUUGUAAACUGCUUUUAUAUGGGAAGAUUAUGACGGUACCAUAUGAAUAAGCACCGGCUAACUACGUGCCAGCCGCCGCCGUAA